AUGCCAGAAGAGCAAUUGCCCAGUGAUUACUUCCUUGAUGAUGAGUCAGCAUCUGAGGAUGAUAAAGAAGCAAGAAAGAUCAAUGUUUACUAUGUGGAGUACAAGAAGAAACUCAGGGCUGACAACAUAGACAUUUUAGAUGAAGUGUUCAUUACAAAUGCAGCAAUAGGUUCAAGGGAAAAUGUUGGAGAGGAUGUAGCUGUUGAAAGCAACUCAAACAGCUCAGAUUCUAAUGACUCUUUCAAAGAAAACAGUGAUGGAGAGGUUGUCACUAAACCUAAAAAAAUUCAUGUGUACAAAGACAGAGGAGAAGUACCAGAGUUCUGUCUUGGUAUGAAAUUUGAAUCAAAGGAAGAGUUCAGAAAAGCAAUAAUUACUUAUGGACUGCAUCACAGAAGGUUAAUUAGGUUUAAGAAAAAUGAUUCUGUAAGGUGCAGAGCAGAGUGUGAUUGGGGGACAUGCCCCUGGUUCUGUUUACUUAGUAGGACAAGUAGGUGCAAUAGUUGGCACGUGACAUCUUUCAGAGAUAAGCAUUGUUGCCCAAAAAGGAAGGAUAAUAAGCUGGUCACUUCAGUUAGGAUUGCAUAA
This 588-nucleotide ribosomal RNA is filed under the name Triticum aestivum (bread wheat). RNAcentral's name for it is "partial small subunit ribosomal RNA". The record is from RNAcentral. Lineage: Eukaryota; Viridiplantae; Streptophyta; Magnoliopsida; Poales; Poaceae.